UAGGGAAUCUUCGGCAAUGGGGGGAACCCUGACCGAGCAACGCCGCGUGAGUGAAGAAGGUUUUCGGAUCGUAAAGCUCUGUUGUUAAGGAAGAACGAGUGUGAGAAUGGAAAGUUCAUGCUGUGUCGGUACUUAACCAGAAAGGGACGGCUAACUACGUGCCAGCAGCCGCGGUAAUACGUAGGUCCCGAGCGUUGUCCGGAUUUAUUGGACGUAAAGCGAGCGCAGGCGGUUAGAAAAGUCUGAAGUGAAAGGCAGUGGCUCAACCAUUGUAGGCUUUGGAAACUGUUUAACUUGAGUGCAGAAGGGGAGAGUGGAAUUCCAUGUGUAGCGGUGAAAUGCGUAGAUAUAUGGAGGAACACCGGUGGCGAAAGCGGCUCUCUGGUCUGUAACUGACGCUGAGGCUCGAAAGCGUGGGGAGCGAACAGG
This 429-nucleotide ribosomal RNA is filed under the name Verrucomicrobiota bacterium. RNAcentral's name for it is "Verrucomicrobia bacterium partial 16S ribosomal RNA". It matches the Rfam family "Bacterial small subunit ribosomal RNA", at positions 355 to 776 of the family's 1533-position model. The record is from RNAcentral. Lineage: Bacteria; Pseudomonadati; Verrucomicrobiota.